This 1731-nucleotide ribosomal RNA is filed under the name Triticum aestivum (bread wheat). RNAcentral describes it as "partial small subunit ribosomal RNA". The record is from RNAcentral. Lineage: Eukaryota; Viridiplantae; Streptophyta; Magnoliopsida; Poales; Poaceae.
AUGGGCCUCCUCAGCUCCCUGCGGCCGCACCGCCGCGGGAGCGGCGGCGGCGGCGCGCAGUGGCAGUGGUCGUUCCUCGACGCCGUCUGGGCGGUGUUCCUCGUGGCCGUGGUCGUCUUCCUCGCGCUCGUCUUCACGCCGCGCCGCGGGGACACCCUCGCUGCCGCGGUGGUGCCGCCCUGUGCCGCCUCGGAGGUGGACCUCCUCCCCUGCGAGGACCCCCGCCGAAGCUCCCGCCUCAGCCGCGAGAUGAACUACUACCGCGAGCGCCACUGCCCCGCGCGGGGGGAGGCGCCCGCGUGCCUCGUCCCGCCGCCGCCCGGCUACCGCGUGCCCGUGCCCUGGCCCGAGAGCCUCCACAAGAUAUGGCAUGAUAACAUGCCUUAUGGCAAGAUUGCUGAAAGAAAAGGUCAUCAAGGGUGGAUGAAGCAGGAAGGCUCAUACUUCCUUUUUCCUGGUGGCGGAACUAUGUUUCCUGAUGGUGCCGAACAAUAUAUUGAAAAGCUUACCAAGUAUGUUCCACUAAGAAGUGGUCUCCUGAGGACAGGUCUUGAUAUGGGUUGUGGGGUUGCUAGCUUUGGUGGGUUUCUGCUCAAAGAGAAUAUCACGGCACUUUCCUUCGCCCCAAGAGAUUCACAUAAGUCGCAAAUACAAUUUGCGCUCGAGAGAGGAAUUCCUGCAUUUCUUUUGAUGUUGGGCACACGCCGUCUUCCAUUUCCAGCACAGUCCUUUGAUUUCGUCCAUUGCUCUCGAUGUUUGAUACCUUUUACUGCCUACAAUGGCAGUUAUUUGAUUGAAGUUGACCGUCUACUUAGACCGGGAGGUUAUCUGAUUAUAUCCGGACCCCCUGUGCAGUGGAAGAAGCAGGAGAAGGAAUGGGGUGAACUUCAAGCAAUGGCACGGUCUUUGUGUUACAAUUUGGUUACUGUAGAUGGCAACACGGCCAUUUGGAAGAAACCUAGUCAGGCGGCAUGUCUUCCUAACCAAAAUCAAUUUGGCCUUGAUUUGUGUAGUACUGAUGAUGAUCCAGAUGAAGCAUGGUACUUCAAGUUGAAGAAAUGCAUAAGUAAAGUUUCUCUGUCAGAAGAAAUAGCCGUUGGUUCCAUUGAUAAGUGGCCAAAUAGGCUGUCUAAACCUUCUGCUAGGGCCUCCUUUAUGGAUGAUGGUGUAAACUUGUUUGAAGCAGAUACACAGAAGUGGUUCAAAAGAGUAUCAUAUUACAAGAGAUCACUUGGUGUGAAGCUAGGUACUGCACUCAUACGUAAUGUCAUGGACAUGAAUGCAUUCUUUGGAGGAUUGGCGGCUGCUGUAGCGUCUGAUCCUGUGUGGGUUAUGAAUGUUGUUCCUGCUAAAAAACCAUUGACACUUGGCGUAAUAUAUGACAGGGGCCUGAUUGGAGUUUAUCAUGAUUGGUGUGAGCCUUUCUCAACAUAUCCUCGUACCUAUGACCUGAUUCAUGCUGAUGGAAUCAAUUCUUUGAUAAGCGACCCAAAGUCUGGAAGGAGCAGAUGUGACCUGUUUGAUGUCAUGUUGGAGAUGGACCGCAUAUUGCGCCCAGAAGGAACUGCUGUCAUACGGGACUCCCCAGAUGUGAUCAACAAGGCUGUACAGGUAGCUCGGUCGAUUCGGUGGACUACUCAGGUACACGACAGUGAGCCUGAAUCAAGCAGUGCUGAGAAAAUACUUGUAGCGACGAAAACAUUUUGGAAGCUACCAUUAACAUCGGGAUAG